AUUCACUAGAGUAUACUGGUGUACUAGUCUUUCAGCGUCUCUUUCCUCCAGUUCCUUCGAAUGUUUGCAUCAAAAAGCAUGCAGUAGUACCCCGGCUUGUUUAUUCCUCGGUUGGAGUUCCCUUGGGUCCUACACUAAUUCAGAUCUCUUUGGGAGCAGUGGUGGCCAGUAGUGAGCACCCCAAGUCUCCUCCGCUCCGCUCCGCAUUAAACUAAUCACUGCCAAAUCCCUAGUCUCUCUUCCACAUGCAGGCAUGAAUGAUGCAUCCAUGAGCACUGUGGAGCUCUAGGUUUCACAGCUCAAGUGUAAACAAGCAGCCCAUACUCUUCCUCUAGCUGCUAGCUAAAGGGUUUGACUGCACAGAGGAAUGGGCAGCGCACGUGCCUGCCUUUGUUUUUUCAGUCUCGCACGUGCCUCUACUUAUAUACUGUACUGGGUCGUGUAGGUAGGGGGUGCCGGUGUACCGAACUGCAGUGCUGAAAAGUGAAAAAACUUGAAGUGAGUAGGUUCUCUUCUGGUUCCCCGCAUUGAAGACUUCAAGUCCCCAAUAGAACUGAUGAGUUGGAGGAGUCUGGAUUUCGUUCAGAAAAGUCUCUCGUCCUCCAGGUGUACCGGUUCCUGCUCCAUCUGCAUGCACUCUUCGUCCAAUCAUUCAGGUGUUUCAGUCGCCUCAGCAUUCAUUAUAUAUAUAUAUAUAUAUAUAUAUAUAUAUAUAUAUAUAUAUAUAUAUAUAUAUAUAUAUAUAUAUAUAUAUAUAUAUAUAUAUAUUGUUACUGGUUGCGCUGUACUACCGUCGAUUUGGCUUGGUGCAGACAAGACAUGGCUUUGUUCGCUACUAGUACUUUAUGGCAGCAACAAAGUGACAUACUGACAUGGAUGAGGUCUUAAGCGAUGUUUGUUAGUGUUCCUUCGAGUGUUCAUACUUGAGCAUGAAACAAAGGGACACACGGCAGAAACAUGUUGUGACAGAUUCAUGAAAACAUGGAAGGACAGAGGGACACAUAUAUAUACGCAAUAGAACUAUCAGGUCAAGACAUUUUUCAGUUAUCCAACUGGUACUGCCAGCGAUGGCCUUUUAUAUUUGUUCUUGUAUGCUAGGGCUGGGGCAUGCCCCUAGUAUAUAUGUAGCCUAUCUAGAGCAGAUGCGGCUCCUCUUUUCUGAGAUGGCUGUCGGCAAAACAGAUGGUCACCCCUGCUCCUGCUGCGUUCGGAGCUGACAUCUUGUCACUGAAACCCAUCACCUGCUGCAGGAUUUCAGGGGAGACGUAUGGCCUAUGGUACUCCCAGCUCACUGAAAGCAAUAGAGAAAUCGCGGGAGGUGACAGGCCCAACGCCUCAGACCUCAGCAGCACCAGCACCCAAGCUUUGGUGACUUCAAUGCGCUGACCACACGAAUGGAAAGGAACAACUGAAACAAUUGUGCUUACUCCUACCCAAGAGGCCACUUUCCCUAUGUAGAUCUGUUAAAUUCUGUUCCAUGUAAAUACUGGUUUCUUCGUCGUCCGAAUGGCAUAUAGUACACUAUG
Zea mays is the source of this 1526-nucleotide RNA transcript. RefSeq lists it as uncharacterized. The record is from RefSeq and is marked validated. NCBI's taxonomy places the organism in Eukaryota, Viridiplantae, Streptophyta, Magnoliopsida, Poales, Poaceae.